UCUAAAGCCAAAAACAAAUCAUUUCCCUUUGCUCUGAACAUGUCUGGUUAUCCUCAUACUCCAGCGGGCUACGGCUACGGUGCUCCACCGCCACCCCAACCUCAACCUUACGGAGCCGCUCCUCCAUACGGUGCGCCGGCACCUUCUCAGCCCUAUGGUGCACCCUACGCACCACCUCCGGGCGACAAGCCACCAAAGGACAAACCACACUCCUAUGCACCCCAACCCGGCGGUUACCCACCGUCAGCUCCGUAUGGAAGCCCGUUCGCCUCACUAGUACCCUCCGCUUUUCCUCCAGGGACGGAUCCCAACGUCGUCGCGUGCUUUCAACUCGCUGAUCAGGACGGCAGUGGGUUUAUCGACGACAAGGAGUUGCAGAAAGCACUCUCUAGUUAUAAUCAGAGCUUCAGCUUGAGGACCGUUCAUCUUCUCAUGUAUCUUUUCACCAACAGCAACACUAGGAGGAUCGGUACUUACGGUUUCCCUUUUUUUUGCUUAUCAUUUCAAAUUUCCGUUCUACCGUGAAUAUGUGCAUUGUAGCAAAAGUUUGCUACCCGUUUCUGACUUGCGCCUGGUGUUGAGAAUACGUUACUUGGCUUGAAAUUUUCUCUUUCUUUGUUGCGCCACGAAUACUGGGUGAGCAUUAAGUGGAUAUAAAUAUAUAAUAAAUAAAUAGAAAUGGUCUGUUCAGUUAGGUCACCAACGCCGGGUCCAUAUGCUUUUUUCUGAUACCUCACGCGUCUCAAUCAAUCAAUCUGCUUACGCGGGAUUUAAUUAAAAAAAAAAAAAAUCUUAGGCCGUGGUAACUCAAUUCGGGAACUUAAUUCCAUCAGAGCCUUGUUUGAUUAGCCAUUUGAACCAAAACAAGGCCUAAGAUCUGCUCGAAUUUUUUCUAACUUCAAUUUUUGAAAUUUUUAAUGCAGGGCCUAAAGAAUUCACUUCAGUGUUUUAUAGUCUUCAGAACUGGAGGGCCAUUUUCGAGAGAUUUGAUAGGGAUAGGAGUGGCAAGAUUGAUU
Molecule: unclassified non-coding RNA, 1016 nt
Filed under: Hevea brasiliensis (rubber tree)
Lineage: Eukaryota; Viridiplantae; Streptophyta; Magnoliopsida; Malpighiales; Euphorbiaceae
Source: RNAcentral